RNAcentral lists this ribosomal RNA (462 nucleotides) under uncultured bacterium. RNAcentral's name for it is "bacterial SSU rRNA". It matches the Rfam family "Bacterial small subunit ribosomal RNA", at positions 30 to 504 of the family's 1533-position model. The record is from RNAcentral.
UGAACGCUGGCGGCGUGCUUUACACAUGCAAGUCGAGCGAAGUUUUGCAGAACACCGCGAGACUUAGCGGCAGACGGGUGAGUAAUAUAUGGGAAACCUGCCUUAGAGAGUGGGAUAACUUAGAGAAAUCUAAGCUAAUACCGCAUAAGACCACAACUCGGCAUCGAGUAGAGGUAAAAGGCGUAAGCCACUUUAAGAUGGUCCCAUAUCCUAUCAGCUUGUUGGUGAGGUAACGGCUCACCAAGGCAAUGACGGGUAUCCGGCCUGAAAGGGUGAACGGACACACUGGAACUGAGACACGGUCCAGACUCCUACGGGAGGCAGCAGUGGGGAAUUUUGGACAAUGGGCGAAAGCCUGAUCCAGCGACGCCGCGUGAAGGAUGAAGGUCUUCGGAUUGUAAACUUCUUUUAGAGGGGACGAAAAAAAUGACGGUACCCUCAGAAUAAGCCACGGCUAACUAC